CUACGGGUGGCUCCAGUGGGGAAUAUUGGACAAUGGGCGAAAGCCUGAUCCAGCCAUGCCGCGUGAGUGAUGAAGGCCCUAGGGUUGUAAAGCUCUUUCGUCAGGGACGAUAAUGACGGUACCUGAAGAAGAAGCCCCGGCUAACUUCGUGCCAGCAGCCGCGGUAAUACGAAGGGGGCUAGCGUUGUUCGGAAUCACUGGGCGUAAAGCGCACGUAGGCGGAUCUUUAAGUCAGGGGUGAAAUCCCGGGGCUCAACCUCGGAACUGCCUUUGAUACUGGGGAUCUCGAGUCCGGGAGAGGUGAGUGGAAUUGCGAGUGUAGAGGUGAAAUUCGUAGAUAUUCGCAAGAACACCAGUGGCGAAGGCGGCUCACUGGCCCGGUACUGACGCUGAGGUGCGAAAGCGUGGGGAGCAAACAGGAUUAGAUACCCCUGUAGUC
This 439-nucleotide ribosomal RNA is filed under the name uncultured bacterium. RNAcentral describes it as "partial 16S ribosomal RNA". It matches the Rfam family "Bacterial small subunit ribosomal RNA", at positions 339 to 795 of the family's 1533-position model. The record is from RNAcentral.